UUUUUAUGGUUGAAUGUCUGCAGUUUAAGGAGUGGAGAGAAUGUAGUGUUGUAGGUUGUCAGUUACUGGUCUGUGUGUUUCUCUUGGUUUGCUCUGAUCUGAGACGUGUCGGGACAAGCCGAGCUGUCACCAAGUGAUGACUGGCAGCAAACCGAUAAGUUAUUAACAACUCAGAGCAUGAUUGAAGGUUUACUUCAAGAAGGAUCCAUUAAAAACAACUUUCUCACAGUUGGUUUUAUGGUUCCAAUUAGGUCAUGACAUAAUGCACGCCAAAGAAUGAAGAUCCAACAUAUUUGGUCUGUUUUGGAAACAGGUGCGGUAAAGUUUUGGACGCUUUCCACAGAGCGAGGACUCAUCAGAAGUUCCAGGUAAAGAUAAAGGGUUUUCUGGAGUAUAAAUAGUCUAAGGAUAACACUUGGAUGCAAAGGAGGUAUCAUUUUUGAAAAGAGAGGACACCUGCUGCACCUGGCUGUGACACAAAUCUGCUCAGCAGUUUGACAGCUGAGACACUAUCUAACUGCUGAAUCAUCAGGAUACCUUAUGCAUGCUGGAAAAGCAUCUACUUUUGGCACAAGCUGAUUUUGUGUGUAUUUUCUUUUAUUUUAAGUGAGCAUUCUUUGCAUAUUUUAAUUAAGCCAAUAAAAGUAAAAGGUAAAAAAAGAA
Long non-coding RNA from Notolabrus celidotus (New Zealand spotty), 663 nucleotides. RefSeq lists it as uncharacterized. NCBI's taxonomy places the organism in Eukaryota, Metazoa, Chordata, Actinopteri, Labriformes, Labridae. The transcript has 3 exons. The record is from RefSeq and is a predicted model, not a curated record.